UAUAUAGUACCCUGAACCGGUUCGGUUCUCCUGAACCGAUCCAGGCUUGAACCGAACCGGUUUAAGCCCAAUUCCACAACCCGUGAGGCCCAACGCGCGCCUCUGAACCCAGUUUCUUUUUUUACUAUUCUGCACACCCCAUAAUACUGCUGCACCCCACCUUGUGAUUGAAUCCAUUUUAUUUUAAGUUCUGCAUGCAUUUUAGAAAUAAUUUCAUUAUUCAAUUCUUUAUUUUUAUGUCAUUUAUUUUUGCAGCAAGGAUAUUAGAAUGUAAAUAAUAGGCUCAAUGUAAUUUAUUUAUUGCAGACCUUAGAAUGUAAAUAGGCUUUUAUGUAAUAGCCGUAGGUGCAUGAGUGCGUGCGCGUGUGUAUGCCUCUUAUCUGCUUUGUGGUUUAGGUCAAAGGUCCUCGUGGUGGUCCAACGCCGCCAUGAGGUACCUACGCUUUACUCUUCUGCUCCGUUAGUUUAUAUUCUAGUUCAUUUAUUCAAAAACAACAAAAAACAUGCA
This 508-nucleotide long non-coding RNA is filed under the name Medicago truncatula (barrel medic). RNAcentral describes it as "long non-coding RNA (MTRU_LNC008425)". The record is from RNAcentral. Lineage: Eukaryota; Viridiplantae; Streptophyta; Magnoliopsida; Fabales; Fabaceae.